CCUUCUUCAGCGAGACUGGUUCAGGCAAGCAUGUGCCCAGAGCUAUAUUUGUUGAUCUGGAACCCACUGUCAUUGAUGAAGUUAGAACUGGAACAUACAGACAACUUUUUCAUCCGGAGCAGCUAAUUUCUGGGAAAGAAGAUGCUGCUAAUAAUUUUGCCAGGGGACACUAUACAGGCACACCUUUUUUACCACAAUUUCAACAUGUCAACUUUAAUCAUAAUCUGUCUGCAUAAGUUACCUCCUUUGUGUUUUGUGCUGCAGUUGGGAGGGAAAUUGUUGAUAUUUGCCUAGACCGGCUGAGAAAAUUAGCUGACAAUUGCACUGGUCUGCAAGGAUUUUUGCUGUUCAAUGCUGUUGGAGGUGGCACUGGUUCUGGUUUAGGUUCGUUGCUUAUGGAGCGUCUGUCUGUAGAUUAUGGAAAGAAGUCAAAACUUGCCUUCACCAUCUAUCCUUCUCCUCAGGUACUUCCCUGAAGACAUUGACAAUGAUUUCAGAAUGUUACUGUUAGGUGGGAGUUUUCUGCUAGGUAAAGCACUAUUAUCUUCAUGACUAGUGCAUGAACGAGAGUCUUGUUGCGAAAAGAGGGAACAUUGGUUAUCUGUAUGCUCAGGAUGUGAUGAAUCAUGAAUUUGAAGGAGGUGAAAUCACCCAAAUUUGAAGAUCUGGACUGUGCAGAUUUUCCUGUGAGCUUUAUAAACAAAAAUUUCUUGAAAUUUUGAUGGAGGAUAAAAACUUAUGAAAGCAAAUCUUUUGGCAUGGAAUAUUUCCUAGAAAUCUUUGUUUAUAUUAGCUGCUUUUUCUCCAAAGGCUUGCUCUCUCUGCAUGGGACUCCCUUAUGGACAAGUUUUCUGGUUAUGCAGGUUUCUACAGCUGUUGUGGAACCUUACAAUAGUGUCCUUUCCACUCAUUCUCUCCUUGAGCACACUGAUGUUUCCGUGCUUCUGGACAAUGAAGCUAUAUAUGAUAUCUGCAGGAGAUCUUUAGACAUCGAA
RNAcentral lists this long non-coding RNA (995 nucleotides) under Carica papaya (papaya). RNAcentral describes it as "long non-coding RNA (CPAP_LNC008731)". The record is from RNAcentral. Lineage: Eukaryota; Viridiplantae; Streptophyta; Magnoliopsida; Brassicales; Caricaceae.